This 74-nucleotide transfer RNA is filed under the name Deltaproteobacteria bacterium. RNAcentral's name for it is "tRNA-Gln". It matches the Rfam family "tRNA". Rfam says of the family: Transfer RNA (tRNA) molecules are approximately 80 nucleotides in length. Their secondary structure includes four short double-helical elements and three loops (D, anti-codon, and T loops). RNAcentral also lists the same sequence under 2 other names. The record is from RNAcentral. Lineage: Bacteria; Pseudomonadati; Myxococcota; Myxococcia.
UGAGGGGUCGUCUAAAGGUAGGACGGCAGGUUCUGGCCCUGGAAAUCGAGGUUCGAGUCCUUGCCCCUCAGCCA